Molecule: ribosomal RNA, 313 nt
Filed under: uncultured bacterium
Lineage: Bacteria
Description: bacterial SSU rRNA
Rfam family: Bacterial small subunit ribosomal RNA
Source: RNAcentral
AAUAAGCACCGGCUAAAUACGUGCCAGCAGCCGCGGUAAUACGUAUGGUGCAAGCGUUAUCCGGAAUCACUGGGCGUAAAGGGUGCGUAGGCGGUUUUGCAAGUCAGAAGUGAAAAAGCCCGGGCUCAAACCUCGGAAACUGCAUUUGAAAAACUGGCAGACUAGAGUACUGUAGAGGGGGUAGAAUUUCAGGUGUAGCGGUGAAAAUGCGUAGAGAUCUGAAGGAAUACCGGUGGCGAAGGCGGCCCCUGGACAGAUACUGACACUCAGAUGCGAAAGCGUGGGGAGCAAACAGGAUUAGAUACCCUGGUGG